RNAcentral lists this ribosomal RNA (406 nucleotides) under uncultured bacterium. RNAcentral describes it as "partial 16S ribosomal RNA". It matches the Rfam family "Bacterial small subunit ribosomal RNA", at positions 29 to 526 of the family's 1533-position model. The record is from RNAcentral.
AUUGAACGCUGGCGGCAGGCCUAACACAUGCAAGUCGAACGAGUGGCGGACGGGUGAGUAAUGUCUGGGAAACUGCCUGAUGGAGGGGGAUAACUACUGGAAACGGUAGCUAAUACCGCAUACCAUCGGAUGUACCCAGAUGGGAUUCGCUAGUAGGUGGGGUAAAGGCGCACCUAGGCGACGAUCCCUAGCUGGUCUGAGAGGAUGACCAGCCACACUGGAAAUGAGACACGGUCCAGAAUACUGCGGGAGGCAGCAGUGGGGAAUAGUGAACAAGGGGCGCAAGCGUGAUGCAGCCAUGGCGCGUGUAUGAAGAAGGCCUUCGGGUUUGAAAGUACUUGCAGCGGGGAGGCGUGACCCGCAGAAGAAGCACCGGCUAACUCCGUGCCAGCAGCCGCGGUAAUAC